Molecule: long non-coding RNA, 1990 nt
Organism: Bubalus bubalis (water buffalo)
Lineage: Eukaryota; Metazoa; Chordata; Mammalia; Artiodactyla; Bovidae
Exons: 3
Source: RefSeq, a predicted model, not a curated record
AAUUUCCCCAAAGUGUUGCCAUCAAGUCUGCAGACUCAGAAUUUCACCAUUUCAUUUCAUCAAUUUUCAGAGCUUAUUGAGUUACUUUGUGUUUCUUGUCUUCCAAAACAGUGUGCUCUUCCUGCAGUGCUCUUUUAUUUGGAAGAACCCAAUGCAGGGCCCCCAGGAGUCAGAGGAAAAAGCCUUCCCGUAAUGAACCAGUGUGAGCAAUAUAGGAAAAAUGUGGUGCAAAGCUGGCAGAAAAGCAAGCUCUAGUUUUCCUUCUUCUAAAGGAUUAUAUCAAACAGGUUUAAAAUAAUGGAUAGUAUCUGGUCUCUCGGCAUGUGGAGGCAGAAAGGUGACUGCCACCAAUGAGAUAAUGUCAUGCGGACUGGAUAUAUUGUAAAACACUCCAAAUGUUAUGCACAUAAGUUAGCGUACUUGGUCCUGAGGAACAAAAUGGACCAAAGCAAGUUAUAAAUGGGCGUUGAGACUCAAGGGUUAAAUGAAAACAGCUAAGAAACCAUGAGGCAAACACAUAGCCCAGCUACUCUUCCUUGUGAACAUCGCCAGCUUUUCCUGAUGUCUUUAAAAAUGCUCUGAAGAUGUAGCAAGUAGCAUCUGAGCAAAGUAGGUGAGGAUUCGCAUCUGCAAAGGAAACUCCUGGGGGUAACUAAUGAUUCAGCAAGAAGUAUGCAGAGAUAGAAUUGGAUCAUUUUUACAAAGAGAUACCUGAUUGAUGUCACACAGACACCAUCAAAUCCACUUUUCUUUGCCUGAUUAAUAGAAGCCCCAAAGAACUGUUUAGAUCAGACUGUUGACUUGGGCCUCAGCUGAAUCCACUAUAGGCAAUGCUAUUUCACCCAAUUAAAGUUCUUCAGUAGAGAAUGAAGGACAGUCCCUUGUAUCUGGCCAAGUGUUUGUUCCUGAAGGAGUCCAGGGGCUUCCAAACUUAUCUGGCCACGAGGAGCUCAAGAAAAGAAACAUUCUGCUUUCCACCCUCAAGUUGUUCAUCUUAGAGUUAGCCGGGGACAAAGGUUUUCUGUUGUGAUUUGUUUUCCUUUUUUUUUUUUUUUUCUGUUUCAAAGUUUUUGUCUGAGAGUCCAGAACUUAAAAGAUGACUCCAUUUUGCAAGAAAACCAUGUCUAAGUUACAGCAUCCUUAGGGGGAGGGAUCCUAACUGACUUCUCACCCAGGAUCUCUAUUUUUGUUGUUUGAGUUUGUUACCCGGCGCGGGCACGCGCACACAGGCAGAUAGUGAAAUUCUGCUACAAGUGCUGAAGAGGUGGGAAAAAGUCAUUCAAAUUCUGCGAUGUUUAUGGCUCAUUCUUCCUUAAGAAACUGAGUUACUUCCAGUUCUUAGCCCCCAGCCCCGCACCCGCGCCCGUGGAAGGCAGAAAGCCAACGCUUGAGUAACGUGGCAAUGCAUUUUAAGAAGAAUCAGCUCCUCGGAAGUGGGGAGAAAAUAUAUUACUGGACUUUGCAGAGGCCAACACGCCCCAGCAGGUUUGGGAGGAAAAGAAGGAGAAAACUGACAAGGUGAGAAGAACAGAUGUGCUCAGGGGGAGGACGGUGGUCUGUGAACCUCCAGGAAAAUGAAUGGUGGAAGGAGGGGACGGCUCACCACCUGGUGUCUCAGAGUGGCAAGGAGACUGUCACUGAAAGAGCAGAAAGAAAGCUAUAAUAUUCUUCCUAGGAAUCUGGGCUUUUCUCAUCAAUGGCCUGAGCUUCCUAAGUGUGCUUCACAGGGAUGGGGGCUGGUACUAGGGAGGAGAGAGAAAGAGGAAGCCGGGCUUAGUUCUCUAGCCCCACAUCCCUAAGGAGCAGACUUAGUGGCCAUGGAAAGGCGACAGUACAAAGAGCUGAUGGGGUCCCCAGAGCUCCAGCUGGGGGUGGGUUUACACCCAGGUGUCUGCGUUUUAAUGUCAGAUCAUCGAAUUCAUUCAGUCAUUCAGUCGUGUCCGACUCUUUGUGACCCCAUGGACUGCAGCACGCCAGGCUUCCCUGUCCA